Elaeis guineensis (African oil palm) is the source of this 1175-nucleotide non-coding RNA. Lineage: Eukaryota; Viridiplantae; Streptophyta; Magnoliopsida; Arecales; Arecaceae. The record is from RefSeq and is a predicted model, not a curated record.
AGUUUGCAAAAAGGUUGGCCUCUUCCUGCUUCCCGUGGAUGUGGAAUGGCAAGCCGAAUAUUGCAUUUGCAGGAAAUUACUUUGUCAUAAAAAUACUAAUGCCGCCCCUUGGCAUUCCCUUCCCUUCUCAAUUUCUUCCUCCUCGAAAUCGCCCUGCACAUCCACUUCUUUCCAAGCAUGUCAGGUAUCUUUCUUUCUUUCUUAAUUUUCUCUCUCUAACAAGCUUCCCUUGUUUUAUGAAACUUUCCAAUACCUUUCUCUCCAUCCAUCUCUUCAAUUUCUUUGCAACAUCGAAUAGAUCUGCUGCAGUCAUCUCUUCGGCAUCGAUGGUUCCCGCCUUCCUCUCCAUCCAUCUCUUCAAUCUCUUCGCAACAUCGAAUCGAUCCACUGCGGUCUUCUUGUCGAUCCUGCCUUCCUCUGCACUCUUUCUUCCCCCAAAAUUUCUAAGUCCAACCCCAUCGCAGUCGAUUCCUUCAAAGCUUCGAAAGGUGAAAGCCACCGCAACGACUAAGGUUUCUCUCCCGCAUCCCUACCCCACCGGCGACCGGUGAUAAGCAACCAAUCUACAACGACUAGGGUUUCUCUCCCGCAUCCCUACCCCACCGGCGACCGGUGAUAGGCAACCAAUCUCCUACCCGACCAGCAUUUACCAUUCGAUGACAAGCCUUCCCAACUGGUGUUUGGCGACAGGUGUUCUUUUCAACCAGCAUUUGACAAGGAGCAUCAUUCUCAACCAGCAUCCGACAAUGAAACCCAACCAGCAUUCAGAGCUAAACAGAAUAAAGAUGGGUGGAAGCCAGGAACAAAAUUAGGAUGAGGUGGGAUCAAAGAGUGAUAACAGCUGCAGCUCAUAUGAUCUUGCCAACUCUUCAUAUUUCCGGAUUAUGGCCUCUGAUCCUUGUUACAGUUGUUGGGCUGUCUUAAUAUUCAUGCUACACAAUUGUUCCUCAGUUACAGAUGUUGACUGGGUUAUCCAUAUUAGUGUUUGUAUUUUACCUCUUUGUAUACUUCUUGGAUUUUCUGUAUUAAUGUUUUUCUCUGUUACUCUUUUUUCCUUUUUACUUUUGGAACUGAUCCUCUUCUAUUCAGUGAUGUUACUGUCUGUGUUGGGGCUCCAUCCUAACCUUUUGUCUAUUAUUUAUAUUUGUGAAUGAAGUUCCUCUUCUCUACCAAAA